AGGACGAACGCUGGCGGCGUGCUUAACACAUGCAAGUCGAGCGGAAAGGCCUUUCGGGGUACUCGAGCGGCGAACGGGUGAGUAACACGUGAGUAAUCUGCCCAUCGCUUCAGGAUAGCCAUCGGAAACGGUGAUUAAUACUGGAUAUGACAUUCCUUCGCAUGUUGGGGUGUGGUAAAGUUUUUUCGGCGGUGGAUGUGCUCGCGGCCUAUCAGCUUGUUGGUGGGUAAUGGCCUACCGAAGGCUUUGACGGGUAGCCGGCCUGAGAGGGUGACCGGCCACACUGGGACUGAGACACGGCCCAGACUCCGUACGGGAGCAGCAGUGGGAAUAGUGGACAAGUGGGACGAAGCCUAGGACUCCAGCAACGCCGACGUGAGGAUGGACGGCCGUUCGGGUAGUAAGACUACGUUUUCGGACGGGAAGAACGGCGUA
This 435-nucleotide ribosomal RNA is filed under the name uncultured soil bacterium. RNAcentral's name for it is "bacterial SSU rRNA". It matches the Rfam family "Bacterial small subunit ribosomal RNA", at positions 26 to 459 of the family's 1533-position model. The record is from RNAcentral.